AAUCUAGUCACUUUGCUGUUCUCUACCUUGCCUUGCCUUGUCUGUGAGGUCUGGUGUCUUCUAUGUGACUCCUGCAUACUCAGUAACAUUCCAUCUUAGUGUCAGGUAAACAUGACCUUAGGGACAGCUUGAACAUUGAUAGAAAGGAGUGAACUUACUAAACAAAGUGGCUGCUGUAGUAGAAAGUCUUUUACUUCAGAACAAUGAACCUAAACUUUUAUGCUAAUGUUUGUCCAGACAACGCCAUGGGUAUGAAAUGCACAGGCAAAGUGCACGUCUGAAGAAAUACAUUGCUUUGUUAAGUUCUAACUCAAAUGUCCAACUCUCUCCCUCUAUGACAUGUUGCCUGAGUUUACAAAACAGAACUUCUCACCAUGUUUGAGUCCUCUUGCAUUGCAUGGCAGAAGUAUGUCUUCCUUAGACUUUUAUCUUUUGAUACAUGUUGAAGUGUCUUGAGGAUGAAGAAGUGUGUCUUGCAUUUCUGUAGCAUUAACUGUUUUGUAAAUCUGAGGCUGGACUUGCAGCUGUAUUGGUAAUCUAUCUUAGUCUUCAUCUCUCGCUUUUGAUUCUUGGUGUGGGUUUGUCCAAAAUAAGGAUACUUGACUGGAUAAUCUUUGUUAAUUUUACUAGAAUGUUAGCAAACUGGACAGAAUUGUUCACCUUUUGAGGGCAUCUCUGAGAAUGUGUCCAGUUGGCUUUAUUUUACACCUCAGAGACUUAAAGUCUAUCUUGAUGUUCACCAGACUUUUCUAAAAGCCUUUCUUUUCCUUAUUCUAUACUUUGACUAAGUUACCUGUGAAAAUAUAUUUUCACAGUCUUUAUUUUCAUAUAAAUAUACUCUCAGAAUGUUAAUAUAUUCUUUUUUAUUUAAUGAAUUAAGGGAUUUUGUGGUGGUGCAACUUUAAAAUACUGGUAGUAUAUUUGUCUUAUAUUUAGAUUCCAUAUAUUUACCAGUUAAGGUGUCAAUGUAAGCUGUAGCAAAGGUUGAACCCCAAAUCUCAAGAGUUCACAUGUUGGACAUUUCUUUCCUAGUUGUAGUGUAUGUAGUCAUAAGUGGGAGGGUCUCUGAAAUAGUCAUUCAGGCUUUAACUUUGGAGCCCGAGGUUUACGUAACAUUGUCACAGUACUAGAUGAAGAGAGACAAUAAAAACUUCUGAGGAAAUAUAUAAAAGGCCAGGCCUGGAAACAGCAAACCUCAGUGGCAGAGCUCACACGUAUGGCCACACUAAACAUCUAAGAAGAAAAAAGCAUAUACCAUAGGUAUAAUUCAGAAGUAAAAAGCAAAUAGAUUUGAUAAACCUGUGGUGCCUGGGUUUGAUUUCCAGCAGCUGUCUGGUGGCUCACAACCAUUUGUACAUCCAGGUCCAGGGAAUCAGAUGACAUCUUCUGGUCUCUGUGGACACAAAGUAUACAUACGGUGCACAUCCAUACAUGUAGGCAGAUACCGAGAGAUGAGGUUAAGAAGGUAGUGAAAGCCCUGCAUUCAGGGUUACCUUUUAUUGGGAGUAAAGUGGAAAACAGAAGGCUUCUGAGUACAGGUAUGGCAUGAUCUGACUUAAGUUGUUACGGAGUCAUGACCAUGUCACCUUGAAAAAUAGCACUCAGAUAAAAUAAAACUAAUAAAUCUAAUUCUAAAAAGCAAAACAAACCUCAGUGCUCAAAGUUUAAGUAACAGAAAGACUAAAUUGUUGUCAUUGAAGAUGUACAAGAUGAAUUUGGUUUGGUUGUAAACAAAUUUCUAAUGACUUUGUGGAUAAUCUAUAAUUUUUAUAAAGCAUAUUCUUGUGUUCUUGAUACCUGUAAAGUCAAAAUGGACUUUUUUCCUUUAUGUAGGUAAUAAAAACUUUAGAUCCCAAAUUAAAUCCAGCAUCAGCAGAAAUAAUGUUACUCAGAAAGCAGCUGGCGGAGAAGGAAAGAAGAAUUGAGAUUCUAGAGGUAACAUCUCCACAUUCAUUAGCGCCUCACCUCUCCAUGGAGUCCUGGGAGUUAACCUCUGUCGUGUUUGCCAUUCAUAAAACCUUUGUUAAUCAUGGUGGGAUCCUGAUAACUGGUUGAGUUCUUAGUUUUUUUUUCUUACACAAUUUUUAUACUAGUAUUUAAGUCAUUUUUGUAAAUAAAGGUGGAUGUGGUAUUGUACAGUUUUAAGUAAGAUUCAUUAAUUGCUUUUUUAGUUUCUAUGGUAAAAUAUUUUACAGGAUUACUAUUUUCAGAGUUACUAUUUUUGGAAUGGAUACAUACUCCUUUAGAGGCCAUGCUGAGCUGUGUUAUUUGACUUCCCCCAUGAACUAUGAUUGGCUUCUUCUCACAUAACUAGAACAGUUUGUUCAUACCCUUUACCUUGUAUGAUUUCCCACCAAAUAAUUAUGAGCUGUGAUGGAAUUAUUUUCACUCAAAACUUCUAACAUGUUCUUUCCUACACCCAGAAUCUAUAUACAAGGCUGGUGUGUGCCUGCUAUCAUCAUUUGUCCAGACAAUGCCAUGGGUAUGAAAUGCACAGGCAAAGUGCACGUCUGAAGAAAUACAUUGCUUUGUCAAGUUCUAACUCAUAUGUCCAACUCUCUCCCUCUAUGACAUGUUGCCUGUGUUUACAAAACAGAACUUCUCACCAUGUUUGAGUCCUCUUGCAUUGCAUGGCAGAAGUAUGCCUUCUUUAUAUUUAUAUCUUUAUCUAUUUAUAUUUUUAUCUUUUGAUACAUGUUGAAGUGUCUUGAGGAUGAAGAAGUGUGUCUUGCAUUUCUGUAGCAUUAACUGUUUUAUAAAUCUGAGGCUGGACUUGCAGCUGUAUUGGUAAUCUAUCUUAGUCUUCAUCUUUCGCUUUUGAUUCUUGGCAUGGGUUUGUCCUAUUUAAAGUAAGGAUACUUGACUGGAUAAUUUUUGAAAUCUUAGUUUUCCAAGUGUGUUGACCAUUCAUUUUACAGAGGGAACCAAUGCACACCAUUGCUAAUACUCAAAGUAUAUUCC
RNAcentral lists this long non-coding RNA (2961 nucleotides) under Mus musculus (house mouse). RNAcentral describes it as "long non-coding RNA chr4:96017769-96020730". Lineage: Eukaryota; Metazoa; Chordata; Mammalia; Rodentia; Muridae. The record is from RNAcentral.